GAACGCGAAGAACCUUACCUGGCCUUGACAUAGUAGGACUUUCCAGAGAUGGAUUGGUGCCUUCGGGAAUCUACAUACAGGUGCUGCAUGGCUGUCGUCAGCUCGUGUCGUGAGAUGUUGGGUUAAGUCCCGCAACGAGCGCAACCCUUUUCCUUACUUGCCAGCAUUUCGGAUGGGAACUUUAAGGAUACUGCCAGUGACAAACUGGAGGAAGGCGGGGACGACGUCAAGUCAUCAUGGCCCUUACGGCCAGGGCUACACACGUGCUACAAUGGUCGGUACAAAGGGUUGCUACACAGCGAUGUGAUGCUAAUCUCAAAAAGCCGAUCGUAGUCCGGAUCGCAGUCUGCAACUCGACUGCGUGAAGUCGGAAUCGCUAGUAAUCGCGGAUCAGAAUGCCGCGGUGAAUACGUUCCCGGGUCUUGUACACACC
This 433-nucleotide ribosomal RNA is filed under the name uncultured bacterium. RNAcentral's name for it is "bacterial SSU rRNA". It matches the Rfam family "Bacterial small subunit ribosomal RNA", at positions 957 to 1391 of the family's 1533-position model. The record is from RNAcentral.